AACGCACCUUGCGCUCCUUGGUAUUCCGAGGAGCAUGCCUGUUUGAGUGUCAUUAAAUUCUCAACCUUACCAACUUUGUUGUCUGGUAAAGGCUUGGAUGUGGGGGUUUUGCUGGCUUCGUCAAGAGGUCGGCUCUCCUUAAAUGUAUUAGCUGGUGCCCCGUGUGGAGCGUCCAUUGGUGUGAUAAUUAUCUACGCUUUGUACUGUCUGUGGAAUAUCUAUGAGUCUAGCUUCUAACUGUCCUCUGGACAAUCUUUCAAUCUUUGACCUCAAAUCAGGUAGGACUACCCGCUGAACUUAA
RNAcentral lists this ribosomal RNA (301 nucleotides) under uncultured fungus. Its description in RNAcentral is "eukaryotic LSU rRNA". The stretch from base 1 to 52 matches the Rfam family "5.8S ribosomal RNA", at positions 103 to 154 of the family's 154-position model. The record is from RNAcentral. Lineage: Eukaryota; Fungi.